GACGAACGCUGGCGGCGUGCCUAAUACAUGCAAGUAGAACGCUGAAGAGAGGAGCUUGCUCUUCUUGGAUGAGUUGCGAACGGGUGAGUAACGCGUAGGUAACCUGCCUGGUAGCGGGGGAUAACUAUUGGAAACGAUAGCUAAUACCGCAUAAAAUUGAUUAUUGCAUGAUAAUUAAUUGAAAGAUGCAACUGCAUCACUACCAGAUGGACCUGCGUUUUAUUAGCUAGUUGGUGAGGUAACGGCUCACCAAGGCGACGAUACAUAGCCGACCUGAGAGGGUGAUCGGCCACACUGGGACGGUGACACGGCCCAGACUCCUUCGGGAGGCAGCAGUAGGGAAUCUGCGGCAAUGGGGGGAACCCUGACCGAGCAACGCCGCGUGAGUGAAGAAGGUUGUCGAAUCGUAAAGCUCUGUUGUAAGAGAAGAACGGGUGUGAGAGUGGAAAGUUCACACUGUGACGGUAUCUUACCAGAAAGGGACGGCUAACUACGUG
Molecule: ribosomal RNA, 497 nt
Filed under: uncultured bacterium
Lineage: Bacteria
Description: partial 16S ribosomal RNA
Rfam family: Bacterial small subunit ribosomal RNA
Source: RNAcentral